UACGGAGGGUGCAAGCGUUAUCCGGAUUCACUGGGUUUAAAGGGAGCGCAGGCGGAUUGGUAAGUCAGUGGUGAAAGCCUUAAGCUUAACUUGGGAACUGCCAUUGAUACUAUCAGUCUUGAAUAUUGUUGAGGUUUGCGGAAUGGGUCAUGUAGCGGUGAAAUGCAUAGAUAUGACCCGGAACACCUAUUGCGAAGGCAGCAGGCUAAACAAAGAUUGACGCUGAGGCUCGAAAGCGUGGGGAUCAAACAGG
Molecule: ribosomal RNA, 253 nt
Filed under: uncultured bacterium
Lineage: Bacteria
Description: partial 16S ribosomal RNA
Rfam family: Bacterial small subunit ribosomal RNA
Source: RNAcentral